Pongo abelii (Sumatran orangutan) is the source of this 148-nucleotide unclassified non-coding RNA. It matches the Rfam family "Metazoan signal recognition particle RNA". Rfam says of the family: The signal recognition particle (SRP) is a universally conserved ribonucleoprotein. It is involved in the co-translational targeting of proteins to membranes. The eukaryotic SRP consists of a 300-nucleotide 7S RNA and six proteins: SRPs 72, 68, 54, 19, 14, and 9. The record is from Ensembl. NCBI's taxonomy places the organism in Eukaryota, Metazoa, Chordata, Mammalia, Primates, Hominidae.
GCCGGGCGUGGGGGCGCGCACCUGUAAUCCCAGCUACUCAGGAGGCUGAGGCAGGAGAAUCGCUUGAACCCAGGAGGCGUAGGUUGCAGUGAGCCGAGAUCACGCCACUGCACUCCAGCCUGGGCGACAGAGCAAGACUCUGUCUCAA